GUUCAAAUGCCUUCGGGACAUAGCCCGGUUAUAGUAACUCGCACAAAUGCCUUCGGGACUUAACUCGGAUUUAGUAACUCGCACCAAUGCCUUCGGGCUUAGCCCGGAAUUAGUAACUCGCACAAAUGCCUUCGGAUCUUAGUCCGGAUAUGGUCACUUAGCACAAAGCCUUCGGGACUUAGCCCGGACAUCAUUCGAAUAACCAUGCACAUUUAACAAUAAAUCAU
RNAcentral lists this long non-coding RNA (227 nucleotides) under Gossypium barbadense (sea-island cotton). RNAcentral's name for it is "long non-coding RNA (GBAR_LNC000435)". The record is from RNAcentral. Lineage: Eukaryota; Viridiplantae; Streptophyta; Magnoliopsida; Malvales; Malvaceae.